AUGGCUGAAGGGGCAAGGUUUCAUGGCAUGGUUGGCGGUGGCGGCAAGGGGAUGCAAGAGAACGAGUUCAAUGGCUUCUUCAGCAUGCCCUACUAUCAGAAAAUUGGGGAGGGCUCCCACAUGUCUGUCGACAGCACUGACAACUACAACCUCGCCGGUGGCUCCGUUACCAUGUCUGUGGACAACAGCAGUGUGGGCUCGAACGAGUCCCGCACCGUCAUACUUAAGCACCCGGGCCUCCGUGAUGCCCCAACUGCAAGCUAUUCGGUUGGCAACAGUGUCUUUCGUCCCAACCGUGUGGCUGCGCACACCCUAAAUGAAGAUGCAUUGGCCAGGGUUCUGAUGGACCCAAAUCAUCCAACAGAGAUACUUAGCAAGUACCAGCAGUGGGCCAUUGAUCUGGGGAGGUUGGAUAUGGGGGUUCCCUUUGCACAGGGAGCCUUUGGGAAGCUGUACCGGGGUACCUACAUUGGAGAAGAUGUUGCCAUUAAGCUGCUGGAGAAGCCUGAAAAUGAUAUCGAGAGAGCACAAUCGUUGGAACAGCAGUUUGUCCAAGAAGUUAUGAUGUUAUCUACCCUAAGGCACCCAAAUAUAGUAAGAUUUAUAGGGGCUUGCAGGAAGUCAAUUGUGUGGUGCAUUAUUACUGAGUAUGCAAAAGGUGGCUCAGUCAGGCAGUUCCUGGCAAAAAGGCAGAACAAGUCGGUACCUUUGAGGCUGGCUGUCAAACAAGCAUUGGAUGUUGCGAGGGGAAUGGCAUAUGUGCAUGCUUUGGGAUUUAUCCACAGGGACCUGAAGUCGGAUAAUCUUCUAAUUGCAGCAGACAGAUCCAUUAAGAUUGCUGACUUUGGAGUUGCUCGAAUUGAAGUGAAAACAGAGGGGAUGACACCAGAGACAGGAACCUACCGCUGGAUGGCACCGGAAAUGAUCCAGCACAGGCCUUAUGAUCAUAAGGUUGAUGUCUACAGCUUUGGGAUUGUCUUGUGGGAGCUUAUAACUGGCAUGCUUCCUUUCACAAACAUGACAGCUGUUCAGGCGGCUUUUGCUGUUGUAAAUAAGGGUGCUCGUCCAGCAAUCCCACAUGACUGCCUGCCUUCCCUAACCCACAUCAUGACGCGCUGUUGGGAUGCAAACGCUGAAGUUCGCCCACCAUUCACCGAGAUCGUCUGCAUGCUUGAGAACGCCGAGAUGGAGGUUGUGAGCCAUGUCCGUAAAGCACGCUUCCGCUGCUGCGUUGCUGAACCCAUGACCACCGACUGA
RNAcentral lists this ribosomal RNA (1257 nucleotides) under Triticum aestivum (bread wheat). RNAcentral's name for it is "partial small subunit ribosomal RNA". Lineage: Eukaryota; Viridiplantae; Streptophyta; Magnoliopsida; Poales; Poaceae. The record is from RNAcentral.